This 29-nucleotide small RNA is filed under the name Bombyx mori (domestic silkworm). RNAcentral's name for it is "ovarian small RNA-7862". Lineage: Eukaryota; Metazoa; Arthropoda; Insecta; Lepidoptera; Bombycidae. The record is from RNAcentral.
UGAAACGAAGACGCGAGGUCAAGAGUGGU